Non-coding RNA from Parelaphostrongylus tenuis, 74 nucleotides. The record is from the annotation of a GenBank genome assembly. NCBI's taxonomy places the organism in Eukaryota, Metazoa, Nematoda, Chromadorea, Rhabditida, Metastrongylidae.
GCGUCGGUAGUGCAAUGAUUCAGCACGCGCCCCUCGGAUAGAGUGAAUUUUGGGUUUGAAUCUCAGCUGAGGCA